GUUGCCAUAGUAAUCCUGCUCAGUACAAGAGGAACCACAGGUUCAGACAUUUGGUGUAUGUGCUUGGCUGAAGAGCCAAUGGGACAAAGCUACCAUCUGGGAUCUGGGAUUAUGACUGAAUGCCUCUAAGUCAAAGAGAGAACAGCAAC
This 149-nucleotide non-coding RNA is filed under the name Sarcophilus harrisii (Tasmanian devil). RNAcentral describes it as "Eukaryotic large subunit ribosomal RNA". It matches the Rfam family "Eukaryotic large subunit ribosomal RNA", at positions 3010 to 3158 of the family's 3401-position model. The record is from Rfam by way of RNAcentral. Lineage: Eukaryota; Metazoa; Chordata; Mammalia; Dasyuromorphia; Dasyuridae.